CAUACAGUACCAUCAGUCCCGGUGCUCGACCGAGAUGUUUUUCCUGCAUAAAAGAAGUUUACAAUCCAUGGGACAUUCAUCCUUCACGCGGCAUGGCUGGGUCAGACUUGCGUCCAUUGCCCAAUAUUCCUUA
RNAcentral lists this ribosomal RNA (133 nucleotides) under uncultured bacterium. RNAcentral's name for it is "partial 16S ribosomal RNA". The record is from RNAcentral.